Arabidopsis lyrata subsp. lyrata is the source of this 1102-nucleotide long non-coding RNA. RefSeq lists it as uncharacterized. Lineage: Eukaryota; Viridiplantae; Streptophyta; Magnoliopsida; Brassicales; Brassicaceae. The record is from RefSeq and is a predicted model, not a curated record. The transcript has 4 exons.
UUUCUGCAAUUUCAAAUUCAUGAUUCAAUUUCAAUUAGAAAUUAAUUUUUUGUUUGUCUUUUUUUGGAUAGAGAGGGAGAAAGAAAGAGUCUUGGUUUGAUGAAUCCUCUAAAAAAAAUUCGUUUCCAAAUCCUUCUUCUUCGUCAUCUCCGUGGGCAUUUGCGUUCCACAUUUUUUCUUGUUAGUUCUUCAUGUCUAGCUUCUUGUUCUUCUUCGUAUUCGUGAGUCUCUUUCAAAUCUCUCUAUCAUUAUCAGUUUUCAACUUCUGGGUUUAGGUAACUUCUUCAUCAUUAAAAUGUUGUUUCAUGAUAAUAAAAAGUCAAGUCCGAGUUCGUUUCUAUCUCUAGUUAUAAUCGUUACUGAUGUGAAAGUUUCUUAUACUCAUAUGAGUUACAGCUUACUGUGAAUUUGUGAUGGUGAAGAGACUUGAAGGUGCUAAAACGGUGAUGACGAGUGAAGAAGCGAGUGAUGGUAGAUGUAUCAAAGAUUGUCGCCAAAGCAAGAAGCUGCUUGUUCGCAUCAAGCAAACUCAAGUGAUUGAUUCAUCUAAGAUAUAUCUUCUUAUAAUUGAUGGGGUUGAGAAUGAUGACGAGUCUAACGGGCAAAAAGAGUUUUAUCAUGACCAGGUGAGAUUUUCUAAUUUACCAUGCUCGAGUCUUCUGAAUCGUAAUGUUCAUUGAGAAUGAUGACGAUUCUAAUGGGCAAGAAGAGUAUGUGAUAUCAUUGAAGGAAAGCGUCAUCUUGUGCUUGGUGUGAUUUCUCAAAUCAUCAAGAUACAGUUGCUAGCAGACUUAAACUUGAAGAAAACUCCCAGCUGGUGGAGUUGGUUGCUGAUAGCAAUAUAAAAUUACUCACUCAUAGUGAAAAUUUUGACUUUGUUUUGAGCACAAGGUACGACUGUUUUUUGCUUCUUUAAUGUCCAAUUUAUUAUACAUGAUGGGAAUAAUCUCUAUGAUUUCAUUUACUUUGAGAAUGUUGCUUAUGCCCAUGUUUGUGUUGAGCUUGCUCUAGCUUUAGGAGGAUAUGUUUCAACAAAAGCUGCAGGACAUGCCUUAGUAUUCUAAAGUGGAGUUUUGUCUCAGUUUCACAAAACUGUAGAUAG